GCCGAGGUGGCGAAAUUGGCAGACGCACUCGCUUCAGGGGCGAGCGCCUCACGGCAUGAGGGUUCGAAUCCCUCCCUCGGCA
RNAcentral lists this transfer RNA (82 nucleotides) under Candidatus Harrisonbacteria bacterium RIFCSPLOWO2_01_FULL_40_28. RNAcentral's name for it is "tRNA-Leu". It matches the Rfam family "tRNA". Rfam says of the family: Transfer RNA (tRNA) molecules are approximately 80 nucleotides in length. Their secondary structure includes four short double-helical elements and three loops (D, anti-codon, and T loops). Further hydrogen bonds mediate the characteristic L-shaped molecular structure. tRNAs have two regions of fundamental functional importance: the anti-codon, which is responsible for specific mRNA codon recognition, and the 3' end, to which the tRNAs corresponding amino acid is attached (by aminoacyl-tRNA synthetases). tRNAs cope with the degeneracy of the genetic code in two manners: having more than one tRNA (with a specific anti-codon) for a particular amino acid; and 'wobble' base-pairing, i.e. permitting non-standard base-pairing at the 3rd anti-codon position. RNAcentral also lists the same sequence under 1 other name. The record is from RNAcentral. Lineage: Bacteria; Candidatus Harrisoniibacteriota.